Molecule: ribosomal RNA, 605 nt
Filed under: uncultured freshwater bacterium
Lineage: Bacteria
Description: bacterial SSU rRNA
Rfam family: Bacterial small subunit ribosomal RNA
Source: RNAcentral
AGAGUUUGAUCCUGGCUCAGAUUGAACGCUGGCGGCAUGCCUUACACAUGCAAGUCGAACGGCAGCACGGGUGCUUGCACCUGGUGGCGAGUGGCGAACGGGUGAGUAAUACAUCGGAACGUACCUUAUCGUGGGGGAUAACGCAGCGAAAGUUGCGCUAAUACCGCAUACGCCCUGAGGGGGAAAGCGGGGGACCGUAAGGCCUCGCGCGAUUAGAGCGGCCGAUGUCUGAUUAGCUUGUUGGUGAGGUAAAAGCUCACCAAGGCGAUGAUCAGUAGCUGGUCUGAGAGGACGAUCAGCCACACUGGGACUGAGACACGGCCCAGACUCCUACGGGAGGCAGCAGUGGGGAAUUUUGGACAAUGGGGGCAACCCUGAUCCAGCAAUGCCGCGUGAGUGAAGAAGGCCUUCGGGUUGUAAAGCUCUUUUGUCAGGGAAGAAACAGCAGCUCUAACACAGUCUGCGAAUGACGGUACCUGAAGAAUAAGCACCGGCUAACUACGUGCCAGCAGCCGCGGUAAUACGUAGGGUGCGAGCGUUAAUCGGAAUUACUGGGCGUAAAGCGUGCGCAGGCGGUUAUACAAGACAGGCGUGAAAUCCCCGGG